CUGCUCUCUGCUGGCUGGCCACAUGCCCUGCACCUGCCCAGCUCUGCCCCCCAGAAGCCUACCAAGCUGGUCAUUUUGAAGGAAGAACCAUUGCAGGAUCUGAAGAGGAUUUCUUCAAGAAUUAACAAGCUCAGACAGUGAACUUCCCUCUGUGGAUCUCAGCAGCCAUUGUGGGAGAAAAUCCCUUUUAACAACCAUGAGGAAUGCAGGGUGUCCUUCCUGCUCACAUCCUGCAGAUCCUGAGUCCCAGAGUGUUUCCCUGCUCCUGACAUCCCUUGUUUCUCAGCCCAUGGAACUAGUGAGCCCACAUCAAAGAGGCUACAGAACAAGAUAGAGAGCCUGUAAAACCUGGUGGAAUCACCUCAGAUAAAAAACCAAGGUGCCAGUAUUUACCAAAAAUAUUCCUGUUUUAUUGAAAAAACAGCCAUUCUCCAGCAACUGUUGUUGGUACCUGCUGAAGCACUAUCUGUGCUUUUACUAGCACACACUAGUUUAACUUGUGCAUUAUCCUGCUCCUGGUGGAGUAAUUAGAUUAACUCCACAAUGCCCCUUACCUCUAAUAAGCUUCAGGAUCCUUAACAUGUCAAACAUGGCAGCUGCUCAGGGGUGUCCUCGUGUGCUGUCAUGGCCAAUUACAGGGAAUUUUUGACAAGCUGAUGAUGCUUUCAUGCAAACUGCAAGAUUUCCAAAACUUAGUUGC
Molecule: long non-coding RNA, 700 nt
Filed under: Zonotrichia albicollis (white-throated sparrow)
Lineage: Eukaryota; Metazoa; Chordata; Aves; Passeriformes; Passerellidae
Description: lncRNA (ENSZALG00000003298.1)
Source: RNAcentral